This is a long non-coding RNA of Cucurbita pepo subsp. pepo (vegetable marrow), 583 nucleotides long. RefSeq lists it as uncharacterized. NCBI's taxonomy places the organism in Eukaryota, Viridiplantae, Streptophyta, Magnoliopsida, Cucurbitales, Cucurbitaceae. The record is from RefSeq and is a predicted model, not a curated record.
UUGCUCCUUUUUGCACCCACAAAUAAGAUCAAAUUCUCAUCAUUCUUCAGGAUUGUUUUGUCUUGUUUUAACACCCAUCUAUUAUUCUUUGGUAACAUUAUAUGGUUUAAUUGAUCAUGCUGAGUGGUUUCUCUCCUUAUUUCCUUCCUUAUAUUUAUAGAAUUAAGCUUCUCAUAUAAGUAUGUGUAUAUAUGUAUAGGAUGUACGGAUUAAGGUUUGGAGGUGGAUACAAGAAACGAUUUGGUUAAAUCCAUUUAGUUUCGAACAUCCUUAUGACUCAAAUUUAGAGAUAUGAAGCCUCGAGCUGAAGACAACCAAGCCGACCAUAAUUCAAUUGAUCAAAAGGUAAUCUUGGACUUGACUUGUUGGGAAGAAAGAUGGAAUGUAGUGUGUAGAGCCCAUAUAAAGCACAGUCGGAUGGCAAACUCUAGCGGUAUAAUGUUCGCACAUCUUUAGAAGAUGCUUCGGGAUUAUAAGUUUAAGGUGAUUGUACACUAUUCAUUGACAUCUCUAUUAGAAUAGAAUAUUAUUUUGAGACAAGGUGGACCCAUUGUGUUUUGAAAUUUGAUUCGCUUGGUUGAAA